Molecule: ribosomal RNA, 485 nt
Filed under: Pylaemenes sepilokensis
Lineage: Eukaryota; Metazoa; Arthropoda; Insecta; Phasmatodea; Heteropterygidae
Description: partial 16S ribosomal RNA
Rfam family: Bacterial large subunit ribosomal RNA
Source: RNAcentral
AAUGAUGUUAUUUAAUGGCCGCGGUAUUUUGACCGUGCAAAGGUAGCAUAAUAAUUAGUUUAUUAAUUGUAGACUGGUAUGAAUGGUUGGACGAAAUAUUUACUGUCUCUUUAGAAUUAUUUAUAAAUUAAAUUUUUAGUUAAAAUGCUUAAAUUUUUUUAUUAGACGAGAAGACCCUAUAGAUCUUUAUAUAUUUAUUUUUUAUUAGUUUUGGUUUAUUUUAUUUUAAUUGGUUAUUAUGUUUUGUUGGGGUGAUAGUAGGAUAUAAUGAACUCUUAUUUUUUAUUUACAUUGAUUUUUGUUUAGUUGACCUUGUAUUAUUGUUAUAAGAUAUAGAUACCUUAGGGAUAACAGCGUAAUUUAUCUUGAGAGUUCUUAUUGACAGAUGAGAUUGCGACCUCGAUGUUGGAUUAAGAUUAUGGUUGGGUGUAGAUGCUCAAUUAUUGGGUCUGUUCGACCUUUAAAUUCUUACAUGAUCUGAGUUA